GAAUUUUGGACAAUGGGCGAAAGCCGGAUCAAGCAAUGCCGCGUGCAGGAUGAAGGCCUUCGGGUGGUAAACCGCUUUUGUACGGAACGAAAAGCUUUGGGUUAAUACCCUGGAGUCAUCGCCGUACCGUAGACAUAAGGACCGGCUAACUCGGUGCAAGCCGCCGCGGUCAUACGUAGGGUGCAAGCGUUAAUCGGAAUGACUGGGCGUAAAGCGUGCGCAGGCGGUUUUGUAAGACAGAGGUGAAAUCCCCGGGCUCAACCUGGGAACUGCCUUUGUGACUGCAAGGCUAGAGUACGGCAGAGGGGGGUGGAAUUCCGCGUGUAGCAGUGAAAUGCGUAGAUAUGCGGAGGAACACCGAUGGCGAAGGCAACCCCCUGGGCCUGUACUGACGCUCAUGCACGAAAGCGUGGGGAGCAAACAGG
RNAcentral lists this ribosomal RNA (425 nucleotides) under uncultured bacterium. RNAcentral describes it as "partial 16S ribosomal RNA". It matches the Rfam family "Bacterial small subunit ribosomal RNA", at positions 359 to 776 of the family's 1533-position model. The record is from RNAcentral.